GUCCUUAACCUCCUUAGAGACACGGACACUUCGGAAAGCGUUCUGCGGACAGUUAUCAAGAUGAUGAAUUGCAGUGAACACCAAGACACAAAAGCAAAGACUUGGAACCAACCGAAACAUCCAUCAAUGAUAGACUGAAUAAAGAAAAUGUGGCACAUAUACACCACGGAAUACUUUGCAGCCAAAAAAAAGGACGAGUUUAUGUCCUUUGCAGGGACAUUAAUGAAGUUGGAAACCAUCAUUCUCAUCAAACUAACAGAAGAACAGAAAACUAAACACCGCAUGUUCUCAUUCAUAAGUGGAAGUUCAACCAUGAGAACACACGGACACAAGGAGGGGAAUAUCACACACCGGGGCCUAUCGGGGGGUGGCAGGCUUGGGGAGGGAGAGCAUUAGGGGAAAUACCUAAUAUAGAUGACGGGUUGAUGGGAGCAGCAAACCACCAUGGCACGUGUAUACCUAUGUAACAAACCUGUAUGUUCUGCACAUGUAUUCCAAAACUUUAAAUGUAAUAAAACAAUUUAAAAAUGUGUUCAAUUUACCUACAUAUUUAUUAAUUUUCAUAUUUACUUUUUAAAUUGUUUCAUGU
Molecule: long non-coding RNA, 589 nt
Filed under: Homo sapiens (human)
Lineage: Eukaryota; Metazoa; Chordata; Mammalia; Primates; Hominidae
Description: HSALNT0325882
Source: RNAcentral